Molecule: ribosomal RNA, 901 nt
Filed under: Campylobacter jejuni
Lineage: Bacteria; Pseudomonadati; Campylobacterota; Epsilonproteobacteria; Campylobacterales; Campylobacteraceae
Description: partial 23S ribosomal RNA
Rfam family: Bacterial large subunit ribosomal RNA
Source: RNAcentral
GGACUGCCUUUUGCAUAAUGAGCCUGCGAGUUGUGGUGUCUGGCAAGGUUAAGCAAACGCGAAGCCGUAGCGAAAGCGAGUCUGAAUAGGGCGCUUAGUCAGAUGCUGCAGACCCGAAACGAAGUGAUCUAUCCAUGAGCAAGUUGAAGCUAGUGUAAGAACUAGUGGAGGACUGAACCCAUAGGCGUUGAAAAGCCCCGGGAUGACUUGUGGAUAGGGGUGAAAGGCCAAUCAAACUUCGUGAUAGCUGGUUCUCUCCGAAAUAUAUUUAGGUAUAGCGUUGUGUCGUAAUAUAAGGGGGUAGAGCACUGAAUGGGCUAGGGCAUACACCAAUGUACCAAACCCUAUCAAACUCCGAAUACCUUAUAUGUAAUCACAGCAGUCAGGCGGCGAGUGAUAAAAUCCGUCGUCAAGAGGGAAACAACCCAGACUACCAGCUAAGGUCCCUAAAUCUUACUUAAGUGGAAAACGAUGUGAAGUUACUUAAACAACCAGGAGGUUGGCUUAGAAGCAGCCAUCCUUUAAAGAAAGCGUAAUAGCUCACUGGUCUAGUGAUUUUGCGCGGAAAAUAUAACGGGGCUAAAGUAAGUACCGAAGCUGUAGACUUAGUUUACUAAGUGGUAGGAGAGCGUUCUAUUUGCGUCGAAGGUAUACCGGUAAGGAGUGCUGGAGCGAAUAGAAGUGAGCAUGCAGGCAUGAGUAGCGAUAAUUAAUGUGAGAAUCAUUAACGCCGUAAACCCAAGGUUUCCUACGCGAUGCUCGUCAUCGUAGGGUUAGUCGGGUCCUAAGUCGAGUCCGAAAGGGGUAGACGAUGGCAAAUUGGUUAAUAUUCCAAUACCAACAUUAGUGUGCGAUGGAAGGACGCUUAGGGCUAAGGGGGCUAGCGGAUGGAAGUGCUAGU